ACAGGUCUAGCCGGGGUACAGUAUAAUGCAUAUUGUAGAGUAUAGGACAGUAUUGUGUUGUGUAUUGUCUCACCACACAGCUAGAGGGACAGACAGGUCUAGUGUGGGGUUUCAGCGGUCGUCUGAAGAACUCUCCCAGGUUACGAUAAGAAGCCAGAUCCUCCACCUCCGCCUCCUAACACACACGCACACACACACACACACAAUAUUAGAGCUAUAUGGACCUUUAGCGUCAUGUUGACGCUAAAGGUCCAGAUAUAGAGCAUAUAGACAAUAUUAGAACUAUUUAUACCUUCAUGUUGACGCCAAAGGUCCAGAUAUAGAGCCUAUAGACUGGCUUCCUGAGCCAUGCUGGGAGCUCAACACGAUUCAGACGACCCCACGCCCGCGACACCAGCCGAGUGGGGAUGCUGCGGUACAACGC
Molecule: long non-coding RNA, 424 nt
Organism: Gadus macrocephalus (Pacific cod)
Lineage: Eukaryota; Metazoa; Chordata; Actinopteri; Gadiformes; Gadidae
Exons: 2
Source: RefSeq, a predicted model, not a curated record